AUUUGUCUAUCAUGGCUCAUGUUGAAAGCAAACAGCACAACUCUGAUUAAAAUACAUGUACAAUAUUAGCAUAUCCGAAAUGAAAAUCAAAACUAUUGGAGUUCUCUAUUAACUCAAUGAUUGAACAUACAUUGAUGACCUCUUCUUAGUCUUGUUCUGCAUCUUCUAUCUCUUCAUCCUCCGGAACUCCAUGAAGGUAGAGAACAUUGUUGCAUCUGCAGAUAACUUGCAAACAGAGUAAAUCUUCUCAAGGAAUAUGAAGCUUAAUUCUAAAACACUUCCGCACAAAAUAAAGCAAUUUAAAAAAUAAUAUUUUGAGGAUACGAGAGCUUCAGUACUCCUAAGUCCUAACCAAAUGACCAUCUCAACAGCUGUUUGAAGAGUUAAUGACAGCAAAAGCAACAUACAUUACAACAUACAAAGGCAUUAUAGAAACCAAAAUUUAAUUCACUAUUUUGUUUGUGGUCUUAACAUAUUAUCUGUAGCUCUCUUUUGCUUCAUAAUUUUGCGCCACUUUGACAAUAGGUGUCUGGAACUCUACCUGCACUUCUAACAUACAACCUAUAGAAGAACAACAAAUACAAAUAUGCAGUGAUGCAUGUGUGUAAUACACAAAAGGUUGCCUGUUUGGAGAAGACAUUUUCAAUGUAGAGAUAAAUGCAUGCUUCAUUGUUGUCUUUUAUUACUAUUUAUAUGCUUUAUGGAUGUAUUACAUUGCAUAAAAUCUUCCAGAGUAGCCUUUAACAUAUUUCUUUUACAAUUGCUGGAAGGGA
Molecule: long non-coding RNA, 773 nt
Organism: Populus euphratica (Euphrates poplar)
Lineage: Eukaryota; Viridiplantae; Streptophyta; Magnoliopsida; Malpighiales; Salicaceae
Exons: 2
Source: RefSeq, a predicted model, not a curated record